AUUCUUACCUGGCAAGGGAGACACCGUGAUCACCAAGGCGGAUCACCCAGGGCGAGGCUCGGCCAUUGCACUGCGGCUGUGCUGACCCCUGCGAAUUUCCCAAAUGUGGAAAUCUCGAUUGCAUAAUUUCUGGUAGUGGGGGACUGCGUUUGCGCUCUCCCCUG
This is a small nuclear RNA of Esox lucius (northern pike), 164 nucleotides long. Its record names the gene U1. It matches the Rfam family "U1 spliceosomal RNA". From Rfam's summary of the family: U1 is a small nuclear RNA (snRNA) component of the spliceosome (involved in pre-mRNA splicing). NCBI's taxonomy places the organism in Eukaryota, Metazoa, Chordata, Actinopteri, Esociformes, Esocidae. The record is from Ensembl.